UUCGGUGAGAGCGGCCGGUCCGCCGUUUGGUGUGCACUGGCUGGUCUCAACUUCCUGCGGAGGACGCGCUCUGGGCUUAACGGUCUGGACGUGGAGUCCGCGUGGUUACUUUGAAAAAAUUAGAGUGUUCAAAGCGGGCUUACGCUUGGAUAUUUCAGCAUGGAAUAACACUAUAGGACUCCUGUCCUAUUUCGUUGGUCUCGGGACGGGAGUAAUGAUUAAGAGGAACAGUUGGGGGCAUUCGUAUUUCAUUGUCAGAGGUGAAAUUCUUGGAUUUAUGAAAGACGAACUUCUGCGAAAGCAUUUGCCAAGGAUGUUUUCAUUAAUCAAGAACGAAAGUUGGGGGCUCGAAGAUGAUUAGAUACCAUCCUAGUCUCAACCAUAAACGAUGCCGACUAGGGAUUGGCGGAUGUUAAUUGAUGACUCCGCCAGCACCUUAUGAGAAAUCAAAGUUUUUGGGUUCCGGGGGGAGUAUGGUCGCAAGGCUGAAACUUAAAGGAAUUGACGGAAGGGCACCACCAGGCGUGGAGCCUGCGGCUUAAUUUGACUCAACACGGGGAAACUUACCAGGUCCAGACAUAGUAAGGAUUGACAGAUUGAGAGCUCUUUCUUGAUUCUAUGGGUGGUGGUGCAUGGCCCGUUCUUAGUUGGUGGAGUGAUUUGUCUGGUUAAUUCCGUUAACGAAACGAGACCUCAGUCUGCUAAAUAGUCAUACGCUACUCCUUAGCGCAGUGACUUUCUUAGAGGGACUAUGUGCGU
RNAcentral lists this ribosomal RNA (759 nucleotides) under uncultured eukaryote. Its description in RNAcentral is "SSU rRNA". It matches the Rfam family "Eukaryotic small subunit ribosomal RNA", at positions 647 to 1429 of the family's 1831-position model. The record is from RNAcentral.